AUCUGGGCGGCGGAAUUCAAGAUGGCGGGGCGUGCUCGCGCGCGCCCGGUCGUUUGAUAUUUCCGUCGCCAGUGUAACACACACAGACGUCGCGACCUGUUUGUCGUCGGUCCCUGCUCGGAGGAAUCGCGUUCGAGUUCGUUGUGGGUGGCGUUUCAGCGUGACCACACGGCGAAGGCGCGAACUUCUGGCCGACGAUGGACAGUAUGCUUCAAACGGUGUUCGGUGUCGUCGUCUCGCACGCGCGGCACCGGUACCGGUCGGCGACGAAUUCUUCGGGCCUCUUUCCGACCCGUCUUGAAACACGGACCAAGGAGUCUAAUGUGCGCGCGAGUCGCGGGGUGUCGAGCGUACUACGGUGCGCUCGUUACGUUGCGAAACCCGUACACGUUGAAGGCGUAAUGAAAGUGAAUUGGGAAGAUGGCGUUUCGAGUUCACGUUCCGCAGGAUCAUUGGUAUCGCGGGCGAACGCCCGCACUCCCAGGGCGUCUCAACGGCCCGUCGCGGAUGCGGAUAGUCGUCUCUCGGAGCGGGUGUCGGUCUGCGACGAACCGA
This 555-nucleotide ribosomal RNA is filed under the name Fissuraspis ulmi. RNAcentral's name for it is "partial 28S ribosomal RNA". The record is from RNAcentral. Lineage: Eukaryota; Metazoa; Arthropoda; Insecta; Hemiptera; Diaspididae.